This 577-nucleotide long non-coding RNA is filed under the name Cyanistes caeruleus (blue tit). RNAcentral describes it as "lncRNA (ENSCCEG00000023484.1)". Lineage: Eukaryota; Metazoa; Chordata; Aves; Passeriformes; Paridae. The record is from RNAcentral.
UCCGAUGAAGUGUGACACUGGGGCAUGAUAUUGAUACUGUGAUUCUGGUCAGGACCAGUGGUUCAGAGAGAUUAACUGAUUCAACUAAUUCAACUGAGGUCAACACUACAAGUCCGCAGAAAAAUCCCUGGGCUCAACAGUGAGAUGAUAUGUCCACGUCACCAACCUGUUUGAUGGACAGCUUUUUAUCACACUGCAGUAAAGACCUGUGCAGCUACUCCUCCCAAGACAGAGCUGAAAGCUGCAAACUGCAUAUCAAGUGUCCGGUGGGGUUUGGGAGGCAAUGAUGAACAUUCAUUUCAAGAAAUUUCUUUUGGAUUCAGGUAGUACUGAGUACAUGAAAAAGGGAUGAAGAUAUCUCACUGAAUUUCCUGCAUAUUGGAACAUCUGACCUGGUUUUAAUGUUUGAAUAUUGUGGGAUUUUACAUUUAUGAUACAUUUUUAGUAAAAUCUUUAUUUUGAAAGCAGCAGCAGCAUGUUUCUAAUUUCCUUAUUUUACUGCACUUUCUAGUGUUAGCUACAGUAGAAAAUUCAGAACCUCUGCACUGACAUUGGCACUAACUGUUCAGCAGUGCAG